Small nuclear RNA from Hyla sarda, 193 nucleotides. RefSeq annotates it as U2 spliceosomal RNA. Lineage: Eukaryota; Metazoa; Chordata; Amphibia; Anura; Hylidae. The record is from RefSeq and is a predicted model, not a curated record. The transcript has a single exon.
AUCACUUCAGGGCCUUUUGGCUAAGAUUAAGUGUACUAUCUGUUCUUCUAAGUUUUCUCCCUGAUACCUUCUCUAUCUAGGGACCAUAUAAUAAAUGGAUUUUUUGACAACUGGGGCCGAUUUCGAAGCUUGCUUCCAUCGCCCCAUGCUUUGACCCUAUAUGGCUCUUUUUUUCUGGGACAGUAUACGGGGG